RNAcentral lists this ribosomal RNA (253 nucleotides) under uncultured bacterium. Its description in RNAcentral is "partial 16S ribosomal RNA". It matches the Rfam family "Bacterial small subunit ribosomal RNA", at positions 524 to 776 of the family's 1533-position model. The record is from RNAcentral.
UACGUAGGGUGCGAGCGUUGUCCGGAUUUAUUGGGCGUAAAGAGCUCGUAGGCGGUUUGUCGCGUCGGCCGUGAAAUCUCCACGCUUAACGUGGAGCGUGCGGUCGAUACGGGCAGACUUGAGUUCGGUAGGGGAGACUGGAAUUCCUGGUGUAGCGGUGAAAUGCGCAGAUAUCAGGAGGAACACCGGUGGCGAAGGCGGGUCUCUGGGCCGAUACUGACGCUGAGGAGCGAAAGCGUGGGGGGCGAACAGG